AGUGAACGCUGGCGGUAGGCCUAACACAUGCAAGUCGAACGGCAGCACAGUAAGAGCUUGCUCUUACGGGUGGCGAGUGGCGGACGGGUGAGGAAUACAUCGGAAUCUACUUUUUCGUGGGUGAUAACGUAGGGAAACUUACGCUAAUACCGCAUACUACCUACGGGUGAAAUCAGGGGAUCUUCGGACCUUUCGCGAUUGAAUGAGCCGAUGUCGGAUUAGCUAGUUGGCGGGGUAAAGGCCCACCAAGGCGACGAUCCGUAGCUGGUCUGAGAGGAUGAUCAGCCACACUGGAACUGAGACACGGUCCAGACUCCUACGGGAGGCAGCAGUGGGGAAUAUUGGACAAUGGGCGCAAGCCUGAUCCAGCCAUACCGCGUGGGUGAAGAAGGCCUUCGGGUUGUAAAGCCCUUUUGUUGGGAAAGAAAAGCAGCAGGUUAAUACCCCGCUGUUCUGACGGUACCCAAAGAAUAAGCACCGGCUAACUUCGUG
Molecule: ribosomal RNA, 492 nt
Filed under: uncultured bacterium
Lineage: Bacteria
Description: partial 16S ribosomal RNA
Rfam family: Bacterial small subunit ribosomal RNA
Source: RNAcentral